CUGAGCCGGUGUCUGCCUCGGACCUCCCCAGAGCUGGAGUAAAUUAGGAGUAGGCUCGCUGGGGUCAAGUGGGCUUAGUUGUCAUUUACACCGACACCUCUUUAUAUAUUACACCAGCUUCCAGUGCUGCCAGACUGGUGAGAUGGGACCUUGGUGGAAAUGAGAACCAGGCCCGGGAGGUUGUUUUUACCAGUGGCAGCACCACAUAUUCCGAGCCAUGAGCAUUCAGAAAUUGUGAGAUCAUGGGACUGUCCCAAAAUUCUUCAGAUUUAAACAUUUUUCUUUCAUUCUUUUUUAUUUUAUUUUAUUUUGGUCUUAAGGCUUCUUUCCUUGGCCACAAGGGUUAAAAAUGUUCUUUUUUAAUGUGAACAACUAAAUGAACGAUAAAAUGUCUCAUGAAAUCACGGGACUCCAGCAGAUGGGGCUCAAAGAAAAGAAUGCCAAAAAAGCUACAAAUUGACGGUGCUGCUCGGUGCCACUCCGGGCAGAAUCAUGCCUUCCCCACGGGUUUCACUGGGUGGUUUUUCUUUUCUCCUGACUGUCACCUGGAUGAUAGAUCUUAGCCUUCAGGCUCGUGCAACUCGGUUUGCUCGACUGAGGCAAACACUCCUGAGACCCAGAAUUGGGUCCUGGCUCCAGCUACUGGGCAUCCAAAGUUGGCCUUUAACCUGGUGAAAGCCCCCAGUCACAAAUAAUCCAGUACCCUCACAAAAGACAUCAGCUUUUCAAACCCAAUAGCAGAACAGGCUGGAAAAAUGAGUGAAAAAAAUCUGCAAAGUUUUAACCCUGUGCUCCCCCAACAGGUGUUUUGUUUGGCUUGUUUUUACAGCCAGAGCUGGGAUUUGAAAUUCCACCCAAGUUUGGAAAUUCAAAACCCGCUUUCCACGUCUGCAGCCACCAUUUCUGCAAAGCAAAAGAGAAGGGACUGGUGAAAAGUUUUAACUUCACAUUUGCACCAGGUCAGAAGUCAGCCUGUGGGCAGCUCGUACAGUCCAUCUGAGAAGAGUUAAGCUGCUGCACCCCUCUAAUUCAGCUGCGUAGGAUUUUCUGUCCAUGCUGUCAUUAAAUUAACCUCGUGCAAGGCAACUGGCACAGUGUGUGUUAAAGUAAUGCUAGAAAACAAGGCUUCUCUCUUAGCCUCCACAAUGUGUGGUCACAUGCAGUAAUGCAAAAUCAGUACGAGGAUAUGGGAUUGUAAGUAGGAAAGUCAGCUGUGUUGUCUGGGUUGGGCCUGCUGUUUGGCACCAGCCAGAAGGAGUUUGUUGCCAGUGUCCACAGGCUUUAGGGAGACAGGAAAAAUCUGAUCUCUGCACCAUGUUUUAGUAAUGCAAAAAGCUGGGUGGAUGCUUUUAUUUUGGUUUGUAUGCCCCAUUUCAAUUGAAUGAAAAAAAUGUCGCUCCAACCAGAGCCAAUCUGUCUUGCACUUUUUUUUCCUCUAAAUCAACUAAAUCAUUGUCUGUUCCCACGUUCAGUCUCCUACCAACAACUCUUUGGUCAGUGGAGAGGAAAGGUGAUGAAAAUGGUCCAUGCAUUAUCCAGUUAUCAAGCUGUAAUCAAUGCAUCUCAUCCUCCACUGGCUCCCUAGCCUGACCCAGCGCACAAAGGGCAGUAAAUUUCUGAGAGGGCUGGAGCAACGCGAGGCACAGAUCCUUACAGAUGGGAAACAAAGACCAAGAGCGACCAAGUCACCUUAAGUCUGAUACAAACUCAGGUGAAAAUGAUGGAAGUUGAAAGCCUCUAACCUGGGCACAGGCCAAGUGCUCGUCUUUUGGGGGCCGUGUCUUUGUUAAACAAUGCCUGCUGUGAUGGGUUUUGCUGGUGUCCUCUCCUGAGUUAGCACUUUCCUCUCUCAAGCUCUGAGCACAACAGGUACCAGGUUUCAGCUGUAGCCUUGAGAUGACACCAUGAAAAUGGGCUGGAUCCAAGCAUCCAUGCUAUCCUGCAGGGCAGAAGGUAUUUAUUUGAGUCCCCACCUGUGACUUCUCCCAGUGCUGGAACCAGCCACACCGAGAGCCAGCGAGGAGCCCCAGAACCUCAGGGGUUUGGGAUCGAGCCUGCCUUUCUGGAAGAGGCAUUUUACCCAGCACAGGGCAUUGGGUUAAGUCUGGACAAACCGAGACACAGGAAUUACCGAGUAAAAUGUCCCGGCCUGUCUUCUCCAGGAGGUCAUCUAGAUGAUCUGUUUGUCUCUUCUGGCCUUUAAAUCUACUAAUCUAUUUUCCCUUCCAGGAAAUAUAACUAUAUUCUGAGAACAACAGCCCCUUAGGAAAAAAAUAAAUAAGGAAGGAAAGCAUGCCUUUGAAAAACAACAGCAAAGAAAAAAACCUUUCAACUAUAAAAUAAACUAAGGUACAAGAUGCAAUUAACAAUGCACAAACAGCAGAGCCUGGAAUGUAAAUUGUAUUUAAAUAGGGCUGUGAAGAAUGUUUCAGUCCCCUAAAUGGCUUCUCUCUCCUGCUGCCUUGAACCUCCAAUCAAGCCCUGCCUGGGAGUAAUUUGGUGCUGGAAAUUGUUGCCACACGAACAGCUGAAGGCUGGCAGGGUCACCGGCCCCCCGUGUCACACCCUGUCAUUUUAGAUUAAGAUAUGCAAAGGCGACACGGCUGCGAACUUUCCCUUUGCUGCCGUGGCUGUGUCCAUCCCCUCGGCUGUAAUGAGAGGAAGGCGUAAUUGGAGUCAACUGCUUGAUUAUGAUAAUUGCUACUGUCUGGGGGAAGAAACAUUUGAGUCCUGGAGCUUGAUCCAUGCUGCACCUUUGGGGUGAUUGCUGUCUGUUUGCCAGCAGAUGGGCCUGGCAGAAAGCAUCCUUUUUGGCCCCGCUUUGGCCCCUUGACCUCAGCUUGACCACUUGUUGGCUCCACGAUUGCAGGCAGGGUCACGGGGUUUUCUGGCUCUUCUCUGCUUCCCACCAGAGGAUUUGUCCUGAAGGAUUUAUCCCCUAAGAGGGAAAGGGCCUUUUGAAAAUUUAUCCCCAGCUCUUCGCGGCAACACAACUGGGAGAUGAGGUGCCGUAUAUUUUCCACCGGGAUAUUUAUCGCUUUUCAUUGUAUGUCCCAGCAACAGUCGGUGGGAAAUACCUCCAGGAAGCUGGGCUGGUCAAUCUGUUCCACCCUGCCUGUCUUCAUCUGCUGAGAGCUGAGACGGUCCCAGAGGUCAGGGCACGGCGAUGGGGGCAAGGAGCUGGCUGCUCGGUUUUCUGAGCUUCCAGCAAACCCUACUGGGAUCUUCCCCGAGUUACCUCAUGUGCAUCCGUGCCCCUUUGAGAAAAGGAGAUGGCCCCUUCUCGGCACCAGUUUGUUUGUCAGUGCUGUUAAACGGUCCUGAGAUCCUGCGAUAUCGACGGGAGGAUCUCGCGGUUGGGGUGUGAACCCGGGGGAAGCGCUGCGCUGCUCCCGGAUCCACCGCAGGCUCGGGCAAGUCUCUGAGGCUGGGAGCCUCGGAGCAAUUUGCAGUUUCAGUGGGAGUUAAACACUUAAAUAUCCCCGGGAAGCUUGGCCACAAGUUCCAUGUGCAGCAAUUUCCCUUCUGCCAGUAACCCUGGCCGGCACUGGUGUGAGCACAGAGGCCUGUAAAAGCCCUGGGACUGAGAUCACACAGAUAUAAUUAAGGUGGCGAGAGGCGUAUUGUUAAUUCAUGGCUAUUAUUUAUUAAUAUCAGCCUUAGGUGCAAAGCUCAACUCUAGCUGUGAAGCAACGAGCACAGCCUGAGCAACAAUAAUAAAUAACCAACAAAGUAAUUGGAUAAUUGUUUCCUUGGUAUCUUAAAAGUUUAACAAGAUUUUUUUUAUUUUUUUCCGAAUGUUCACGUUCGAGAGCAUGGAGGGAAAAGCACUGCUUGCAUAAAGGGUGAGAUACAAAAAAAUCAUUGAAAAUGGAAAAAAAAGGAGCCACAGGUAAUGCUGUGGGUUUUCAUUUCACCUCCUCAACACGGGGCUUUGCCCUGCUGAUGGCCAGCAGUGAGGGGCCAGGGCUUUUGGAGCUUUUUGGCAGGGCCGUUAGUUCUCUUGCUCGUGAAAUGCCAAAGGCAGCUGACAAAAAAACCUCUUCUCAUAUAAUUCCAACUUUAUUUUACCAAAUCCUGAGCGCUCCUUUGCUGCCAGCAGCUCCACCUCUUUCAUCCAGGAGCUGGUGACACCGCUGUUGCUGCUUUGAUGGCACUGCAGGUGUGGGUUUAGCAGCGGGACGUGGAAACGAAGCCUUGUGGACCGAGCGUCCUGCCAGACCCCAAGGCAAGGCUGCAAAACCCCAGCUGUAUUUCACAGGGAGCUGCUAAGAAGCAGCUUUGUCCCUCAAGGAGCUUUUGCAGACCUUGCUGGAGGUUCCUCCAGGGGUGCCAGGGAGAGGAGCCCAUCCGUAGGAAGCUCCCGAUGCCACUCGUGCCGUGUUGGAGGGGGCACGGGGACCACCAGCACCCUCUCAGCCGAGGACUGACCUCCGGGACCCCUCGCGUGUGCCGGGUGGCCGCGUUCCCUCGCACUGCACAUCAUGCAAAUAAAAGCCUGACCUCCAGCGAGAGGCAGGUCACAGCGCUGGGCACGCCGGAGCGUGGUGGCCGUGGUGGGAUGGAUGCAGAUCUCAGUCAUUCCUCAACGCCAUCGCGGGGAACGGGAGUCUGAAAGACAUUACCUGGGUGUUAGUAAAAGAUUUGCUUUUCCUGAACUUUCUCUAUA
Molecule: long non-coding RNA, 4669 nt
Organism: Oxyura jamaicensis (ruddy duck)
Lineage: Eukaryota; Metazoa; Chordata; Aves; Anseriformes; Anatidae
Exons: 3
Source: RefSeq, a predicted model, not a curated record